UACAGAGGGUGCGAGCGUUGUCCGGAAUCACUGGGCGUAAAGGGCGCGUAGGUGGCCCGACAAGUCAAUGGUGAAAGUUCGACGCUUAACGUCGAAUCGGCCACUGAUACUGUUGGGCUGGAGCACUGUAGAGGCUCAUGGAAUUCCGGGUGUAGCGGUGGAAUGCGUAGAGAUCCGGAAGAACACCGGUGGCGAAGGCGGCUUCCUGGACCGACACUGACGCUGAGGCGCGAAAGCUAGGGGAGCAAACAGG
RNAcentral lists this ribosomal RNA (253 nucleotides) under uncultured bacterium. RNAcentral's name for it is "partial 16S ribosomal RNA". It matches the Rfam family "Bacterial small subunit ribosomal RNA", at positions 524 to 776 of the family's 1533-position model. The record is from RNAcentral.